AAGGAGUCGUCUUCGUAUGCGAGUGUUCGGGUGUAAAACCCCUACGCGAAAUGAAAGUGAACGCAGGUGAGAGCUUCGGCGCAUCACCGACCGAUCCUGAUGUUCUCGGAUGGAUUCGCGUUAGAGCAUACGGGGCCGGACCCGAAAGAUGGUGAACUAUGCCUGUAUAGGGUGAAGCCAGAGGAAACUCUGGUGGAGGCUCGCAGCCGUUCUGACGUGCAAAUCGAUCGUCAAAUCUGGGCAUGGGGGCGAAAGACUAAUCGAACCUUCUAGUAGCUGGUUUCCUC
RNAcentral lists this unclassified non-coding RNA (287 nucleotides) under uncultured fungus. RNAcentral's name for it is "partial contains 5.8S rRNA, ITS2 and 28S rRNA". It matches the Rfam family "Eukaryotic large subunit ribosomal RNA", at positions 668 to 961 of the family's 3401-position model. The record is from RNAcentral. Lineage: Eukaryota; Fungi.